Molecule: long non-coding RNA, 216 nt
Filed under: Coturnix japonica (Japanese quail)
Lineage: Eukaryota; Metazoa; Chordata; Aves; Galliformes; Phasianidae
Description: lncRNA (ENSCJPG00005007451.1)
Source: RNAcentral
CAAAUUCUCUGACACUGGUGCAUCUACAUCUAUUUCAGCAGCAGGAUUAUGAUGGUGUGGAGCAGUCUUUGUUGGUGAUGGUGUAUGCAGUAUGUGACUGCACAGGAACUGACUCCUCAGGCUUUCUGAAGGAACUGGAAUUAAAUUAGACUCUUCUCAGGUAGGAAAUCUGUAACAAAAUGUCUGAAGCUUUUGGUCUUCAACAUGAGAGCAGAA